AGCUCUUUCCAAAUAGUUGCAUCUUUCCAGUCGACUUCCAGCUGCGAGUUAACUCUGAGCCUCCAUGCACCGUUCAUAUGAACAAGGAUGCCUUAAUGUGCUCAUUUACUGCUUUGAGAAUUAGAAGGGGAUCUUUGAUUUCAAACAUGCAGCUCGGUGCAGUCAGCCAAGGAAUGCUCCAGGCAAAGCUGGAGGAAGCGUGCUUGGGUCCGACUGACCCGCUUGAGGAGCGACAGUAAGGCCACAGUCUGUUCACACUCGUUCCAUCCCUUAAACCAGCCGGCGAGGACUCCCACCUGGUCACGAAACAUCAUGAUCUGUUGGCCAGGCUCACGAUACAAGACUUGACAAGAGAAAAGACUGAGGCUUAUCCAACAAAAUUGCACUCGCUUCCACUGUCACUUGAGGUUUGGCAAAGAAGAACAGCCCUUUAAGGUGUUAUUUGCUAUUAGUAGGUACCAAUGUAUUGCAUCUUUCUUCUUGGGUUUUGGAGUUGCACCUGGUGUGGGGGAAUCCCUGUACGAAGCUUUUGAGAUUGAUGUUUAGUUGGUGCUCUUCAAGUCCUCUGGCCACUUACAAAAUGUUCCUCAGCUUUCUUCCAGCAUACAGUGACUGUCCAGCUUUAGCCUUGAUGGCAUUUUCAAUAGAGAACAUCCCUUUUCUGUGAAAGGAAAGGAUGGAGAUUGUAUAAAUACAUACACAAUGAGUAGCCCCACACAGAAUUUCAGUAUUUACAAUAAGUUUAGUAAAAUUAUCCAGAUUAUUUAUGUAGAACUCAAUUUGUAAAGUAAUAUUUUCUGUAUUUUACUGGAUGGGUUAUAUGAGAGAUUUACUGUAGGUUUUGUUCAUCAAACAAGUAGAUCUAAUUGGAUUUGCAUUGUAAACCUUAAAUACAAGUAAAGAAGAUACUUAUUUACUUCAUGUGUUAAGUUUUCAACUUCUGUACUCUCAAUAAAAUUUCAUUGAAAA
This 969-nucleotide long non-coding RNA is filed under the name Danio rerio (zebrafish). Its description in RNAcentral is "si:ch211-84m6.5 (ENSDARG00000097906.2)". Lineage: Eukaryota; Metazoa; Chordata; Actinopteri; Cypriniformes; Danionidae. The record is from RNAcentral.